AUUCUAUAUUAAUAUGAAGUGGUUCUAUAUUAAUAUGAAGUGGUAAUAGUGGAGAAGGGUAUUUAGCUAGCUUUAGUUUAUGAUUUAGGGAGAGCCAAAGAGAAAUGGUAGAAUUUAGUAGGAUGUGAGGAUUUGGGUCUUCUUAGCACAGAUUAGGGAAUGGAAUGUUUCAUUCACCCACAGAUUCCUAAGUGUUCUUCCCAGCAGAGGAGAGUUUUCACUCUUGCUGGGUGAGUGGAGGUUCUGGUUCUUGAGAUAGGGGUGCGAGACAAGAGAUAAAUUGUUUUUUAAUGAGUGUGACAAUGAAAAGCAUUAACAAAGAUAUAUCUUUGUUUAUUGGGUUGGACCCUGGUCUGAAUAAAGUCUAGCCAUGGAGGUACUUCAGUCUUGGCAGAGUUGUAGGAACAAAAAGUUGUGGGUUUUACAUCCUAAAGGCGUAAGAAUAAGCUGCAUCCUCCAUACUAGGUUGUGCCCUGGUGUGGGAAAAGUCCAACAGCAGCGGUGCUUCAGCCUUAGUUGGACCCUGGUCUGAAUAAAGCCUAGCCAUGGAGGUACCUCAGUCUUGGCAGGUAAGUAGACAAGAUGGUGCUAGUGGUGGGGUAAUUGGUUAGGAUUUAUUUGAGCAUUCUUCUGCCUGAGCAUCCCUGGUGAGAAAAGUCAGCAGUAGGUGGCUUUGGAAGAUUGAGCCUUGGUUUGGGGAAAGUCCUUCUGCAGAAGACGCCAUGAGUAGCAAUGCUCACAGCAGCAGAAUUUAUAUUUACAGGUUAUGACUAUCUGCUCACAGAGGCACUUACGCCUUAGAGGUGAGUAGGGGGGCAGAUACUUGUGUGGCACAGGGCAUUGUUGAUGCUGGAUGUCUGUUUUAUAUAUUGGGCCUUGGUUUAGUAAUUGUCCCGUGGCCACUGUGGUUCUUCACUUUUGGUAGGAGAGUGGAGCAAUAGUACUUGCUUGUGGGGUUCACGUGGUGUUGUUUUUAUUAGCACCUUUAUUUUGAGUAAGUGAGGCCUUUUUUUAGUCUGGCCAUGGUGGCUUUUUAGCCAUUUUAGGUGAGUGGGGAUGCUGAAGCUUUUGGUAGCUGGUCAUAUGGGUAAUCCAGUGGUUUAGGUGUACAAAGGUACGAUCUCUUACCUAUGUAUCUUUCUUUUACAGGUUGGGAAAGUUCAGCCUUUGCUAUACAUGAAUGGGCUACUUUAGCCUAGGUUUCUCUGUAACAGGUUGUACAGCGAAUUGCAGAGGUGUCUCUUAUACAAGUCUGUUGGGGAUAAGUGUGUCAGAGAAGAAAUCAGAUCAUUAGUGGGUUGGUUUGGGAGAAGUCCAGGCUGCAGAUCUGCUUCAACAUUGGCAGAAAGCUGAGGAUGCUGGUUCUUGUGGUUGGACCCUGGUCUGAAUAAAGUCAAGCGGAGGAGGUACUUCAGCCUUGGCAGAGUUGUAGGAACAAAAAGUUGUGGGUUUUACAUCCUAAAGGCGUAAGAAUAAGCUGCAUCCUCCAUACCAGGUUGUGCCCUGGUGUGGGAAAAGUCCAACAGCAGCGGUGCUUCAGCCUUAGUACGUGAGUUUGUGGUAAAGGUUUUGGGUGGAAUGAUCAUUUUUUUAACAUGUGUGAGAAUAUAUACCCUCAGGGUGUUUUGUAGAUUGGACCCUGGCUUUGGAGUUCCCAGCAGAGGAGAGUUUUCUUGCUGAGUUGGACCCUGGUCUGAAUAAAGUCUAGCCAUGGAGGUACUUCAGUCUUGGCAGGAUGGGGAGCUGCUUUUGAAAACCCUCUGUGGAGGCACUUCAGCCUUGGCCGGUUGGACCCUGGUCUGAAUAAAGCCUAGCCAUGGAGGUACUUCAGUCUUGGCAGAUGGGGAGCUGCUUUUGAAAACCCUCUGUGGAGGCACUUCAGCCUUGGCCGGUGAGUGGGAAUUACCAAUCUCGGUGUUGUAGGAUGGGCUUUGCUUUGGUAGAUAUUUAUUCCCAGAAGCAUUUUAUUCUUCAUGGGUAAGUAGGCAUGCCGGUGCUGGAGGUAGGAUGUGGAGAUAUUGGUUUUGGUGUUAAGAUUGAGUCUCUUUUUUUAGGCUAGGCCCUGAUAAGGUCAACUGACCUUUCUAGGUGAAUGUGGAUGUGUGAGAAAAACCCUCUCUGAAAGGGACUAGAGAAUGUGUAAUGAAUAACACUAUAAGUGUUGGUGAGAGACCUAAACAGCUGUGACAAAUAAACAUGUUUUGCUUCUUCAACUCCCUGCACCCCAACUAUUUAUUGUGUGAAUGAAAACUUGUACUGUGGAGCUUCAGGUCUUUUACCAAUUGCACCCGUCACAGACACAGAAGGGUUUUAUAGGUUUGACUUUGUUUUGGAAAAUGCCAUGGAGACACCUCAGCUGAGGCUGGUGAGUAGGUCUACAGGUCUCUUAUACAAGUCUGUUGGGGAUAAGUGUGUCAGAGAAGAAAUCAGAUCAUUAGUGGGUGAGUGGGGAUGCACAUGGUAUAGAAUGAUAGCUUUUGGGGGGAGAAUUCACUGCUUAAUUGUUUUUGUUUUACAGGUUGAACCGUAAUUUGGAACUUGUCUUACCAAGGAGCUAUUUGCUGUUGGUAAUUGCUAGUUCUUGUGGUAGAGGUGAAGGUUACAAGAUCAAUUAUGUUAGUACUACCUAUGGCUGAAGUGGCAGUGCAGCCCUUUCAGGUUGGUUUGGGAGAAGUCCGGGCUAUGGAGGUGUAUUAUGCUUGGUAAAUGACUGGGGUUGCAGGUGCUUGUGGUAGGUGUGCAGGGGAGGAAUAUACCCUUCAGCUUGCAUGCCUAUUUGUUUUUAUAGUUUCCACCACAGUGUCAUAAAAAUCCAUCCAUGCUUUGUUUUACAGGUUUUACCAGGAGAAGUCUGGCUUUGGAGGCACUUUAUCCUUCUCAGGUCAGGUCCUGGUACUGAUAGUCCAGCCAAGGAGGCUCUACAGCUUUGGCAAAUAAGUAACUGAUUACUGAGUAGGGGAGCUGGAGUCUCGUUUUUAACAGAAUGGGCCCACAAAUGAGAAAAGUCAGCAGUAGGUGGCUUUGGAAGAUUGAGCCUUGGUUUGGGGAAAGUCCUUCUGCAGAAGACGCCAUGAGUAGCAAUGCUCACAGCAGCAGAAUUUAUAUUUACAGGUUGUGACUAUCUGCUCACAGAGGCACUUACGCCUUAGAGGUGAGUAGGGGUGCAGAUACUUGUGUGGCACAGGGCAUUGUUGAUGCUGGAUGUCUGUUUUAUAUAUUGGGCCUUGGUUUAGUAAUUGUCCCGUGGCCACUGUGGUUCUUCACUUUUGGUAGGAGAGUGGAGCAAUAGUACUUGCUUGUGGGGUUCACGUGAUGUUGUUUUUAUUAGCACCUUUAUUUUGAGUAAGUGAGGCCUUUUUUUAGUCUGGCCAUGGUGGCUUUUUAGCCAUUUUAGGUGAGUGGGGAUGCUGAAGCUUUUGGUAGCUGGUCAUAUGGGUAAUCCAGUGGUUUAGGUGUACAAAGGUACGAUCUCUUACCUAUGUAUCUUUCUUUUACAGGUUGGGAAAGUUCAGCCUUUGCUAUACAUGAAUGGGCUACUUUAGCCUAGGUUUGUCUAUAACAGGUUGUACAGCGAAUUGCAGAGGUGUCUCUUAUACAAGUCUGUUGGGGAUAAGUGUGUCAGAGAAGAAAUCAGAUCAUUAGUGGGUGAGUGGGGAUGCACAUGGUAUAGAGUGAUAGCUUUUUGGGGGGAGAGCCCUUUCAGGUGAGUGGGGGUUUCUGGUACUCCCGGUAGGAGCCUUAGUUAGGGGGUUUGAUUUCUUUUGAGAUGCAUAGGGAUGUGCUUCAGCCUAGGCUUCUUUAUUUUACAGGUUGGUUUGGGAGAAGUCCAGGCUGCAGAUCUGCUUCAACAUUGGCAGAAAGCUGAGGAUGCUGGUUCUUGUGGGUCCUGGAAUGGCCGCAUCUGUCUCUUCACCUUGCAUG
Molecule: long non-coding RNA, 3921 nt
Organism: Xenopus tropicalis (tropical clawed frog)
Lineage: Eukaryota; Metazoa; Chordata; Amphibia; Anura; Pipidae
Exons: 19
Source: RefSeq, a predicted model, not a curated record